This 101-nucleotide transfer RNA is filed under the name Flavobacteriales bacterium. RNAcentral describes it as "tRNA-Gly". It matches the Rfam family "tRNA". Rfam says of the family: Transfer RNA (tRNA) molecules are approximately 80 nucleotides in length. Their secondary structure includes four short double-helical elements and three loops (D, anti-codon, and T loops). Lineage: Bacteria; Pseudomonadati; Bacteroidota; Flavobacteriia; Flavobacteriales. The record is from RNAcentral.
GCGUCGGUGGUCUAAUGGCUAUGACUGUGGCCUUCCAAGCCGCCUAUCGGGGAAAGCCAAAUUUCCAUUUGGUUUCCGAAUUUCGAAUCCCCGCCGACGCA